GAGACAUCUUCCUCACCUACAACCACAUCACUGCUACAUCCAUAGCUUCUGGUGCACCUUUGGGAGUGUGUGUUCUGCAGCACCCCCAAAUACUCUGGAGAAUAGCAGAUGCAAUGGAAAGCAAAAGAAACUAAAAGCUGGAGAGCUCAGUUGGACUUCCAUAAACUAGAGGAGGCCCUGGAGGAGGAAAGGUGACCUCUGCCUGCCUGCAGCUCUGUGAACUGCAGCCCUGCUUUCCUGAUCACAUUUCUUUGGACUGCCAUUGUGGAAUGCCUUUCCCUCUACCACCACCUCUUCAAAAUAAACAUGAGAGUUGAAGCCUUUCACAAGAUGUGCUGCAACACAGCUGAAUUUGCAUCUUAGCUAACUAAAUAAAGGCAUUGUGAAGGACA
Molecule: long non-coding RNA, 392 nt
Organism: Neopsephotus bourkii (Bourke's parrot)
Lineage: Eukaryota; Metazoa; Chordata; Aves; Psittaciformes; Psittacidae
Exons: 2
Source: RefSeq, a predicted model, not a curated record